GCGUCGGAUGAGCAACGGUAGCUCCACGCGCCGUAAACGCGUCGCCUUCGGGCUAUGGGGGUUCAAGUCCCUCCCGACGCA
This 81-nucleotide transfer RNA is filed under the name Deltaproteobacteria bacterium. RNAcentral's name for it is "tRNA-Tyr". It matches the Rfam family "tRNA". From Rfam's summary of the family: Transfer RNA (tRNA) molecules are approximately 80 nucleotides in length. Their secondary structure includes four short double-helical elements and three loops (D, anti-codon, and T loops). Lineage: Bacteria; Pseudomonadati; Myxococcota; Myxococcia. The record is from RNAcentral.